Molecule: ribosomal RNA, 523 nt
Filed under: uncultured bacterium
Lineage: Bacteria
Description: bacterial SSU rRNA
Rfam family: Bacterial small subunit ribosomal RNA
Source: RNAcentral
ACGCGUGAAGUUGACCGCCUGGGGAGUACGGCCGCAAGGUUAAAACUCAAAGGAAUUGACGGGGACCCGCACAAGCGGUGGAUGAUGUGGAUUAAUUCGAUGCAACGCGAAAAACCUUACCUACCCUUGACAUGGCAGGAACUUUCCAGAGAUGGAUUGGUGCUCGAAAGAGAACCUGCACACAGGUGCUGCAUGGCUGUCGUCAGCUCGUGUCGUGAGAUGUUGGGUUAAGUCCCGCAACGAGCGCAACCCUUGUCAUUAGUUGCUACGAAAGGGCACUCUAAUGAGACUGCCGGUGACAAACCGGAGGAAGGUGGGGAUGACGUCAAGUCCUCAUGGCCCUUAUGGGUAGGGCUUCACACGUCAUACAAUGGUCGGUACAGAGGGUUGCCAAGCCGCGAGGUGGAGCCAAUCCCAGAAAACCGAUCGUAGUCCGGAUCGCAGUCUGCAACUCGACUGCGUGAAGUCGGAAUCGCUAGUAAUCGCGGAUCAGAAUGCCGCGGUGAAUACGUUCCCGGGCUUU